GUUUGGAACAUUGCAAGCUGUUUAACAACUUGUAACAAGCUUGAUGGCAUUAUCAGACCUAUUACAAGGUUGUUCUAACGAGCCUGAUACAGUUAUGAUAUAACACGAAUGUUACAUGGUUGACAACACAAGGUUGUAACAGUAUUAUUAUAUCAUGAUUUUAUCGGACUUGUUGGAACAACCUUGCAACAAGUGAUAAUGCCAUCAAGCUUGUUACAAGUUGUUAACGGCUUAUUCCAAAC
Molecule: microRNA precursor, 242 nt
Filed under: Paramuricea clavata
Lineage: Eukaryota; Metazoa; Cnidaria; Anthozoa; Malacalcyonacea; Plexauridae
Source: RNAcentral